AGUGAACGCUGGCGGUAGGCCUAACACAUGCAAGUCGAACGGCAGAACAGUAAUAGCUUGCUCUUACGGGUGGGGAGGGGCGGACGGUGGAGAGAAACAUGGGAGGUUGUGUUGUAGUGGGGGCGGAAGUGGGGGAAAAUACGGCAAUAGCGCAUAGGGAGUAAGGGGGGAAGCAUGGGAUCUUAGGACAUUACACGAGUGUAGGUGGGGAUGGCGGAUUAGUUAGGUGGCGGGGUAAAGGCCCACCAAGGCGACGAUCCGUAGCUGGUCUGAGAGGAUGAUCAGCCACACUGGAACUGAGACACGGUCCAGACUCCUACGGGAGGCAGCAGUGGGGAAUAUUGGACAAUGGGCGCAAGCCUGAUCCAGCCAUACCGCGUGGGUGAAGAAGGCCUUCGGGUUGUAAAGCCCUUUUGUUGGGAAAGAAAAGCAGCAGGUUAAUACCCCGCUGUUUUGACGUUACCCAAAGAAUAAGCACCGGCUAACUUCGUG
RNAcentral lists this ribosomal RNA (492 nucleotides) under uncultured bacterium. RNAcentral's name for it is "partial 16S ribosomal RNA". It matches the Rfam family "Bacterial small subunit ribosomal RNA", at positions 30 to 507 of the family's 1533-position model. The record is from RNAcentral.